Molecule: transfer-messenger RNA, 392 nt
Filed under: Candidatus Asgardarchaeum californiense
Lineage: Archaea; Promethearchaeati; Candidatus Asgardarchaeia (ex Tamarit et al. 2024); Candidatus Asgardarchaeales (ex Tamarit et al. 2024); Candidatus Asgardarchaeaceae
Rfam family: transfer-messenger RNA
About the family: Bacterial tmRNA, also known as 10Sa RNA or SsrA, is named for its dual tRNA and mRNA-like properties. Its role is to liberate the mRNA from a stalled ribosome.
Source: RNAcentral
GGGGCCGAACAGGGUAUCGACGUGACGUAUAGAGAUAGAAACGCAAUGCGUAGGAAGCGACUACGUAUCAACGCUAACUUAAACAUAGAUGCAAAAAAUUCUAUGAUUGACUAUGCUAACGAACAACUUAAGGGCGUUAGCAUAUCACAUACUAAAGCGCUCGCUGCUUAAUAGCAAGCCAGUGGCUGCCAACUAGCUAGAAACAGAAACGUUGGAACUCACUAGUGAGGUAAUUCUGGCAUCCAUAUAGUGAGUUCAGAGGAAAGUCAGAUCUGAUAGUAAGGUUAUUGUUGAACCACCUGUUAUCAGAUAGUAAGGUUCAACAAAUCAUUGUGUAUCGGGUCUAUUUUUGACGUUGGCGGACGGCGGUUCGAUUCCGCCCGGCUCCACAC